Molecule: ribosomal RNA, 169 nt
Filed under: Ditylum brightwellii
Lineage: Eukaryota; Bacillariophyta; Thalassiosirophyceae; Lithodesmiales; Lithodesmiaceae
Description: partial Bacterial large subunit ribosomal RNA
Rfam family: Bacterial large subunit ribosomal RNA
Source: RNAcentral
GAGACGUAUCAGUCGAAGUCAUCGAUUCCAUGCUGCCAAGAAAAGCCCAGCAGCGAGUUGGCAUGGCGCCCGUACCCCAAACCGACACAGGUGGGCGGGUAGAGAAUACCAAGGCGAGCGGGAGAACUAUGGUUAAGGAACUCGGCAAAUUACCUCCGUAACUUCGGAA